GACGAACGCUGGCGGUGUGCUUCACACAUGCAAGUCGAACGAGGUAGCAAUACCUAGUGGCGGACGGGUGAGUAACGCGUGGGAAUCUGCCUUUAGAUGGGGGAUAACGGGUCGAAAGACUCGCUAAUACCGCAUAUGACGAAAGUUGAAAGGAGUAAUCCGUCUAAAGAUGAGCCCGCGUCCGAUUAGCUAGUUGGUAGAGUAAAAGCCUACCAAGGCGACGAUCGGUAGCUGGUCUGAGAGGAUGAUCAGCCACAAUGGGACUGAGACACGGCCCAUACUCCUACGGGAGGCAGCAGUCGAGAAUAGUCUACAAUGGUCGGAAGACUGAUAGUGCGACGCCGCGUGAACGAUGAAUCCCUUCGGGUGUAAAGUUCUUUAUAUGUGAGCAGUGCUUCUUAUAUUAACAGUAUGGGGAGAGAGGUAUUAGCAUAUGAAUAAGCAACGGCUAACUCCGUGCCAGCAGCCGCGGUAAACUCGUCUCUAC
RNAcentral lists this ribosomal RNA (487 nucleotides) under uncultured bacterium. RNAcentral describes it as "bacterial SSU rRNA". It matches the Rfam family "Bacterial small subunit ribosomal RNA", at positions 28 to 535 of the family's 1533-position model. The record is from RNAcentral.